Molecule: long non-coding RNA, 2381 nt
Filed under: Trifolium pratense (red clover)
Lineage: Eukaryota; Viridiplantae; Streptophyta; Magnoliopsida; Fabales; Fabaceae
Description: long non-coding RNA (TPRA_LNC000611)
Source: RNAcentral
GAACCAUAGGCUUAUGAUUCAGCCUUCCAGAUCAAUAAAAGUUAACGCACAGAUACCUUGAAACAUCAUAGAUGAAAAGACAGAUUUCAGGACCUAUCUCAGGAGUUAGUAAAUGUAUUUAAGUUUCCCACUAUAAACUUAGAGUUACACUUUAAGAUUACAAACUCACAAUCUUUUUCUCCUCAAAUUCUUUUAGAUCUCAUUUGUCUCUUUGUUUUAGUUAAGUUAAAGAAUGACUAACUGAGCUAAAUCAACAAUCUAUACAAGUUAUAUACCCUAACUUUCUCAACUAAUUAAAGUAUACGAAGCAAUUACAAUGAAAGCCCACAAAUUUGGAAGUAAUUUGAUGACUUCUAAUAGACAACUACAUCAGAUGGCUAAUAACCAUUGUCCUUCCCAAUAUGAAAUUACCCUUUCCUUUGUGUUUGUUCGCUGCUACAAACAAGGGUAUAGAACCAAGUAUAAUUGGCACAAAAAGGAUAUACAUAUCAUUGAAGUAAGAUCAUACAAAUUGUCCUUCCCAAUAUGAAAUACCCUUUUCUUUGUGUUUGUUCGCUGCUACAAACAAGGGUAUAGAACCUAGUAUAAUUGGCACAAACAAGGGUAUACAUAUCAAUGAAGUAAGACCAUACAAUCAUAUAUUCAUAAAGGCAAACCAGAAGAGAAGUUUCAACACAGAUCCUCAGCAGCACAAUUAUACAAAUUAAACCACUAAAAAAGCAAUUAACUAUAAGAAUUUCUUAGGUAUUCAUCAUAAGUUAACAAAAAUAAUAUAGGAAAAAUAAACUAAUUAACUAAUCUAAUGAUAUAAAUAGAUACUUAAAUUAAAUAUUUAGCAAUGCUAACCUGGAUUUCAAGCUUGACAGUGUAGCCGACACCUAAAAUCUCCUUGUCGGUGAGGGAAAGGAACCUAAUCUUGUCAAAUGCCUACAAUACAGAACUCAUUUCUGAUAAAUACAAAGUUCCAUUUUUGUGUAUAAAAAUCAUAGAAGUAGUUUGUUUGUCAUGUAAUUAAUUGAACUAUGUGAGGACAAUAUAUUAAUUGAAGUAGAGUCAAGAUAUCAAAAUGUGACAUAAUUGGUGUAGUUUCUCAAAGAGGAGUGGGGUCAGCUGACCCCAAUUCAAUCUCCUUCUAUGUAAGAUCUGUGCCUAUGCAUAAGCCUGUGGAAAAAACAAGGGCCUAUGCCAGAAUUUCAGAUCCAAAUUAUUGUUGGCAACGUUCAUAACUGAAGCACCAUGGAAUAGGUGAAACAGAAAUUGUUGCCUUUCUCAACAAAUUUAAUUAUAAAUAUAAAGGUAGAACUCAACAUAUGAUUUAACUAUUUACUCCCUCCGUCCCAAAACUUUGAUCCUUUUAGAGUUUUGCAUGGGGAUUAAGAAAUGAUAAAUAUUGAUAAAUUAAGUCAAUUUUACCCUUACUUUAUUAAGAAAGAGAAAAUAUAUUUAUAAUUAAUGUUUUAACUUUAGUAAGGGUACAAAUGGUAAAGUAUCACUAAUUGUGCAUUGGUUUCUUAAAAAGACAAAAGAUUUGGGACAAAACUAAAAAGGUAAAAGGACUAAAGAUUUGGGACGGAGGGAGUAAUCAACAAAUCAUAAUUAAUUACUCUAAUAAUCGUAAUACUGGAAUCACCAAAGAACCAUAGGUUUAUGAUUCAGCCUUCAAGAUCAAUAAAAGUUAACGCACCGAUACAUUGAAACAUCAUAGAUUGAAAGACAGAUUUCAGGACCUAUCCCAGGGGUUAAUAAAUGUAUUUAAGUUUCCCACUAUAAAACUUAGAUUUACACUUUAAGAUUACAAACUCACAAUCUUUUUCUCCUCAAAUUCUCUUAGAUCUCAUUUGUCUCUUUGUUUUGUGAAAGUUAAAGAAUGACUAAAUGAGCUAAAUCAACAAUCUAUACAAGGUAUAUACCCUAACUUUCUCAACUAAUUAAAGUAUACGAAGCAAUUACAAUGAAAGACCACAAAUUUGGAAGUAAUUUGAUGACUUCUAAUAGAUAACUACAUCAGAUGGCUAAUAACCAUUGUCCUUCCCAAUAUGAAAUUACCCUUUUCUUUGUGUUUGUUCGCUGCUACAAACAAGGGUAUAAAACCAAGUAUAAUUGGCACAAAAAGGGUAUACAUAUCAUUGAAGUAAGAUCAUACAAAUUGUCCUUCCCAAUAUGAAAUUACCCUUUUCUUUGUGUUUGUUUGCUGCUACAAACAAGGGUAUAGAACCAAGAAUAAUUGGCACAACCAAGGGUAUACAUAUCAAUGAAGUAAGACCAUACAAUCAUAUAUACAUAAAGGCAAACCAGGAAGAGAAGUUUCAACACAGAUCCUCAGCAGCACAAUUAUACAAAACAAACCACUAAAAAAGCUAUUAACUAUAAGAAUUUCUUAG